AAAAUCGAAUAGGCAAAGCCGGAGACAGCAGGUGCUAAUAGCUUAAAUACCCUGCCGAGGUUAAAACUCUAAUUGUCAAAAUUACCACCCAUAAAGGCGUGAUAACUAUGGCAUCACGAGUCUUAAUACUCAACCCCGGCUAAUAUUAGCCGGGGUUUGUUGUUUGGGUU
Molecule: regulatory RNA element, 170 nt
Organism: Nostoc punctiforme PCC 73102
Lineage: Bacteria; Bacillati; Cyanobacteriota; Cyanophyceae; Nostocales; Nostocaceae
Rfam family: Ribosomal protein L10 leader
About the family: This family is a putative r-protein leader autoregulatory structure found in B. subtilis and other low-GC Gram-positive bacteria. It is located in the 5' untranslated regions of mRNAs encoding ribosomal proteins L10 and L12 (rplJ-rplL).
Source: Rfam